Molecule: ribosomal RNA, 497 nt
Filed under: uncultured bacterium
Lineage: Bacteria
Description: partial 16S ribosomal RNA
Rfam family: Bacterial small subunit ribosomal RNA
Source: RNAcentral
GACGAACGCUGGCGGCGUGCCUAAUACAUGCCAGUUGAGCGAUGAAGAUUGGUGCUUGCACCAAUUUGAAGAGCAGCGAACGGGUGAGUAACGCGUGGGGAAUCUGCCUUUGAGCGGGGGACAACAUUUGGAAACGAAUGCUAAUACCGCAUAACAACUUUAAACAUAAGUUUUAAGUUUGAAAGAUGCAAUUGCAUCACUCAAAGAUGAUCCCGCGUUGUAUUAGCUAGUUGGUGAGGUAAAGGCUCACCAAGGCGAUGAUACAUAGCCGACCUGAGAGGGUGAUCGGCAACAUUGGGACUGAGACACGGCCCAAACUCCUACGGGAGGCAGCAGUAGGGAAUCUUCGGCAAUGGACGAAAGUCUGACCGAGCAACGCCGCGUGAGUGAAGAAGGUUUUCGGAUCGUAAAACUCUGUUGGUAGAGAAGAACGUUGGUGAGAGUGGAAAGCUCAUCAAGUGACGGUAACUACCCAGAAAGGGACGGCUAACUACGUG